AGGCGGUGCAGGAGAAUUAUAACACUAGCAAGUUUUUUGUUUACGCUGCUGAGAUAGCUGCUCCAUGUCCUUUCCAACCCAAGUACAAGCUUGCAGACCUUGCCGAGAAACUUUGGUACGAAGAUAGCCUUCGCCAAAAAAGCCUUUGUGGUCAGAAGCUCAAACCCAUUCUGAAUGAAAACAAGGAAGCUGCCGUACCAGUAAGGACUCUGUUUAUUGCCUCUUUAUCUCGCCAUUCAACUGAAAUAUCAGAUAU
Long non-coding RNA from Brassica oleracea var. oleracea, 256 nucleotides. RefSeq lists it as uncharacterized. NCBI's taxonomy places the organism in Eukaryota, Viridiplantae, Streptophyta, Magnoliopsida, Brassicales, Brassicaceae. The record is from RefSeq and is a predicted model, not a curated record. The transcript has 4 exons.